UGGGGAAUCUUGCGCAAUGGGCGAAAGCCUGACGCAGCCAUGCCGCGUGAGUGAUGAAGGCCUUAGGGUUGUAAAACUCUUUCACCGGGGACGAUAAUGACGGUACCCGGAGAAGAAGCCCCGGCUAACUUCGUGCCAGCAGCCGCGGUAAUACGAAGGGGGCUAGCGUUGCUCGGAAUUACUGGGCGUAAAGGGCGCGUAGGCGGAUCAGCAAGUUGGGGUGAAAGCCCGGGGCUCAACUCGGAAUUGCCUUCAAAACUGCUGAUCUAGAGUACGGGAGAGGUGUGUGGAACUCCGAGUGUAGAGGUGAAAUUCGUAGAUAUUCGGAAGAACACCAGUGGCGAAGGCGACACACUGGCCCGUUACUGACGCUGAGGCGCGAAAGCGUGGGGAGCAAACAGGUUAGAUACCCUGGGUAGUCCACGCUGUAAACGNUGAUUGCUAGUUGUCGGCAGGCAUGCCUGUCGGUGACGCAGCUAACGCAUU
RNAcentral lists this ribosomal RNA (486 nucleotides) under uncultured bacterium. Its description in RNAcentral is "partial 16S ribosomal RNA". It matches the Rfam family "Bacterial small subunit ribosomal RNA", at positions 355 to 861 of the family's 1533-position model. The record is from RNAcentral.